GUGUCGGUGGCUUUGGUUAAAGCACUUGACUUGUAAUCUACAGGUUCUGGGUUCGAAUCCCAGCAUGUACC
This is a non-coding RNA of Papilio xuthus (Asian swallowtail), 71 nucleotides long. NCBI's taxonomy places the organism in Eukaryota, Metazoa, Arthropoda, Insecta, Lepidoptera, Papilionidae. The record is from Rfam.